Long non-coding RNA from Syngnathus acus (greater pipefish), 320 nucleotides. RefSeq lists it as uncharacterized. The transcript has 3 exons. The record is from RefSeq and is a predicted model, not a curated record. Lineage: Eukaryota; Metazoa; Chordata; Actinopteri; Syngnathiformes; Syngnathidae.
CAUGAGUAUUUAGUGAAUUUUUUAAAUCCGAAAACAUGGUUAUAGUCACGCUUAAUAGUGUUUCAAACGCGUAUUGUGGUUUAACAGGUAGCCAUUGCUAUGCACUAUGAAUCGUUAACAUAAGUGGGUGCCCCCUGCCAGCGCUGAGGAAAAAUUGUGGCUCCCUUCAUCAACACCCAUCAUCACCCUUGCGCCAUGGUGGCUUGGAGAGAACAUACUUUGCAAGUCUUCAGCAGAGGUAUCCGUAGCAGCAAGAUGGAGGCGACAUGUGCCAGCGUCCUGUGCGGUGAGGCGCGACCCAAUUUGCAAUUUUUAGACCU